GUAGGGAAUAUUGGACAAUGGGGGGAACCCUGAUCCAGCCAUGCCGCGUGGAGGAAGACUGCCCUCUGGGUUGUAAACUCCUUUUAUAUGGGAAGAACCGUCCUCAUUAAUGAGUGACCUGACGGUACCAUAGGAAUAAGCACCGGCUAACUCCGUGCCAGCAGCCGCGGUAAUACGGAGGGUGCAAGCGUUAUCCGGAUUCACUGGGUUUAAAGGGUGCGUAGGCGGAUAAAUAAGUCAGUGGUGAAAUCAACGGGCUCAACCUGUUAACUGCCAUUGAUACUGUGUGUCUUGAAUAUGAGAGGGGUAGGCGGAAUGUUGCAUGUAGCGGUGAAAUGCUUAGAUAUGCUACGGAACACCGAUUGCGAAGGCAGCUUACUAUUUCGUAAUUGACGCUGAGGCACGAAAGCGUGGGUAGCGAACAGGAUUAGAUACCCUUGUAGUCC
This 446-nucleotide ribosomal RNA is filed under the name uncultured bacterium. RNAcentral's name for it is "partial 16S ribosomal RNA". It matches the Rfam family "Bacterial small subunit ribosomal RNA", at positions 354 to 796 of the family's 1533-position model. The record is from RNAcentral.